GGGGCCUCCGGCUGCCGCGCGGAGGGCACGGAGCCUCCGGGCUCGCGGCCCCGCCCCUGUGCGUCACGGGCUGGCGGGGCGCCGAUUGGCUGUGGCAGCCGCCUCGCUCCCUCCUCGCCCGGCGGUGUAUGUCGCAGCCGCUUUUCACAGUUGUCGUUUGAAAUUCGGCCCAAAAUGGCGGCGGCGGGCAGCAGUGGGGCUGAGGCGGCGGCGGACAGGCUGGAGGGGGCGGAGGAAGAGGAGGAGACGGCGGCCGCGGCGGAGGACGAGGAGGACGGGGAGGAAGAUGGCAGCGGGGCUGGCAGGGCGGCGGGCGCGGCGGCAGCGGGCGGGGAGGCCGGCGGGGAGGCUGGCGGCGGUGGCGGCGAGAGCGAGGAGGAGGACGACGUGUUCGAGGUGGAGAAGAUCCUUGACGUGAAGACCGAGGGGGGUAAAAUUCUCUACAAGGUACGGUGGAAAGGAUACACCUCUGAUGAUGAUACCUGGGAACCAGAGGCUCAUUUGGAAGACUGCAAAGAAGUGCUGCUUGAAUUCAGAAAAAAGAUUGUAGACAAUAAGCCUAAACCUGUUAAAAAAGACAUACAGAAACUAUCUCUAAAUGAUGAUGUGUUUGAAGCAGAAUCUGACAGUGACCGGCAAAGUGAAACAAAAGAGGAUGUUUCACCAAAGAAGAAAAAGAAGAAGUCAAAAGAUGGAGAGGAUAGAAGUCCAGAUGAUCCGAAGAAGAAAAAGUCUAAGUCUGCAAAACUCAAAGAAAAACCCAGAACAGAAUGUGAAAGUUCCUCAGAUACUUUGGUUUCAGAUUCAAAGCCAAAAAAAAGGACUUCGGAAACUAAGGAGGAUUCGAAGGACCCAAAGAAGCAAAGGAAAGAAGAUACUAACGAAAUCAAGAAAAAGAAGGGAGAAGUUAAAGAUUUAAAAAUAAAAUCUAAAGAAGAUUCUAAAGAAGAUAAAAAAUCACAGAAGGAGAAGCAUGGGGAUGUUCAGUUUGACUCAGAAUUAAGUACUCUAGAAGAUGCGUUUUCUCAUGAAACUGAUAAUGAAAAUUCAGACUUGGUUUCUGAAAAUAAAGACGAGCAGCAAAUAGCAAUAAGUGGAGAGGAGAGAAUGGAACAAGAAAUUGCUGAAAAUGAUUCCUUUGCUGAUAGGCAUCUUGAUGGAUCAGCAGGUAAUGAAGAUGAUAGUGUUGAUGUUAAGGUUAAAAGAAAGAAGAAAAAAAAUCAGAAAGUUGAAGAUUAUAAAGAAGAAGGUAGAAAAGUGGAAACUCAAGAUUUAGAGAAGAAAAGCAUGCACAAAAGGCAAAAAGCUCAAGAAAAAGUAAGAGUACCGGGAGAGGUAGAGAAAGUGUCACCUCCUUCACCAGUGCAGAAGGGUUUGAAAUUGAGUGCUGAUGAAAGAGGGCGCAAGUCCACGGAUUCGCCUGGGGAGGAGAAAGAAGGAAAGAAAACUGAAACAAAAGAAAAACCUCAAAAAAAAGAGUCUGAAAAAGAAGAAAAGAACAGAAAAGAACAAAGAGGCAUAAAAAGCUUUAAGGAUAUCAAAAGUGCAUUUGACUUGUUUAAUGUAGCUUCAGAAGAAAAAAGUGAAUAUUCUGAGAAUAACUGCAAAAGAGAAGAAUCUUCGCUAGAAUAUAAAUUCAUAGAAGAAUUAAAAUCAAAAGACAGCAAGGUGUACAAGGAAAGGAGGAACAUAAAAGAUGAAACAGACACAUGGACUUACGCUGCUGCAGAAGGUGAUCAAGAAAUGGCGGAUGUGUGUCAAAUGAAGAACUCUGAUGGCAAGCAGCAAGUCUUGAGUUUGGGUAUGGACAUGCAGUUAGAAUGGCUGACGCUAGAAGACUUUCAGAAGCAUCUUGAUGGAGAAGAUGAGAAUCGUGUGUCGACAGGACCGAUAUCAAGUACUCUCCUGAGGGAUGCUGUUAAAAGUGGAGACUACAUGACAGUAAAGAUGGCACUUUCUUCAAGCGAGGAAUAUAAUCUGGAUCAAGAGGACUCAAGUGGAAUGACCCUAGUAAUGCUGGCUGCUGCUGGUGGGCAUGAUGACCUUCUCCGGGUCCUUAUCAGGAAAGGAGCUAAAGUUAAUGGUAGACAGAAGAAUGGAACAACUGCAUUGAUACUCGCAGCUGAGAAGAAUUUUCUAACAACAGUAGCUAUUCUUCUGGAAGCUGGGGCAUACGUCAACAGGCAGCAGAGCAGCGGGGAAACUGCUUUAAUGAAGGCUUGUAAAAGAGGGAAUUCGGAUAUAGUGCGGCUAAUGAUUGAAAGUGGGGCAGACUGUAACAUUUUGUCAAAGCAUCAGAACAGCGCGCUGCAUUUUGCUAAACAAUGUAAUAACAUACUGGUGUAUGAACAGCUCAAGAGUCAUUUGGACACGCUCUCGAGAGUAGCAGAGGACACCAUCAGGGAUUAUUUUGAAACUCGCCUGGCUUUGCUGGAGCCAGUCUUUCCCAUCGCGUGUCAUCGUCUCUGUGAAGGGCCAGACUUUUCUACAGAUUUUAACUACAGACCCCCCCAAAACGUGCCAGAAGGAUCGGGAAUUCUUCUCUUUAUUUUCCAUGCAAAUUUCCUUGGUAAAAAUGUCAUUGCUCGGCUCUGUGGACCAUGCAGUGUACAAGCUGUGGUUUUAAACGACAAAUUCCAGCUCCCUGUAUUUCUGGUGGCCCUGCCUGAGCAGCAGAUGGUGCCUGGUUGGAGCAGAUGGGACCUCAGAGGUCCCUUCCAACCUCAACUCGUCUGUGAUUCUGGGACUUCAGAACUGAGGGUUGAGCAGGCAGCUGAGAACUCUCUACUUAAAGCUGUUUAACUUCUCAUUCACCCAGCAUCUCAAAUUUUUGACCCAAGAUAGUCACUUUAUUUAUUCCUUCAGCCCUACUGCAGGCCUUAACAAGCUUUUUAUACGGUUGACCGAAGCUCCUACUGCCAAGGUGAAGCUGCUCAUAGGCGCAUACCGAGUGCAGCUGCAGUGACCUCAGGGCUGAGAGCACGUUGAGUGGGCUGACACGUUUUUGGACGUUCUUCUGACUCCUGGUCAGAGACUGACAAAGCAGUUUGGAACUUCUGGGCACCGCACUCUUAAGACGAAGUUCCCAUCUCGCUGCCACUCGUUGGCAGGCCCACAGGAGUGUGUGUUGGGGAGCAGCUCAGUGUGCUGCGCUGGUGGGACGGGGCUCUCAGCUUUUUUUACUUUGUACAGAUGUAGAUGUAAGUAUUUGUGCCAAUACAUAUAAUUCUGUUUUUCUUUAACUUGUGGAGUCCAGAUUGCCUAUUUCAGCUUUUCCACAAUGUGGAGUGGUGCAUAUAAGAACUAUUUAAGGUAACUAUGUGAAAUGUCUUUUUUAAUAGAAAGAUCUUUUCCAUUUGUAAACUAAAAUUUUCUACCUGCUCUAACUGUAAUGUUUCUCUGUAAAACGCAGAACUGUCGUAUUCUUGGAGCUGUGGGCAGAAAUUACACUUGGAAGUCACUGCGUUAGAUCUAACUUUGAAUUGCUUAGGGCUGUGUUCUGGUUUGAAGCUUCUCCUGCUCUUGUCUCCCAAUGAGGGAGCAGUUGUGCUUUGAGCCAUUCGCUUUGAACAAACACCGGUAGGGCUGCAGGUAUGAACAGGACAUCUCAAUAGGUUCCACUCAUAGAGGAUCGCAGUCAGAUUCCUAAUUAUAUCACGGUUUUAAAACUACUUUAGUGUUAGAGAAGCAACUGACAAUUUUACAGACAUCUUAACAUCUGAGUUGUUAGUGAAGUGACAUGUGGGAAAACAAAUACAAGCUGAAAACAGCAAACCAGAAAACUUGUAACUACCUGAAAUGUGCAGGCAAUGCUGUUUGUAGACAAGAAGAGCCAUAGAGGAUUUCAGAUGUUCUCAGCCUGACAGAUGAGAAUGUAAAUUGCCCUGAAAUUCAGAAGUUCAGUUCCUCAGUGCAAAGAGCUGCUAAUUUUUUUAAUUUAUUUAAAUGACCCAUUUUAUCAGAUGACAGCAGUUCUGUAAUGGUCCUGUGCUGUAAAAUACCAAUGUAAUACUUCUCCAUGAGGUAUAAAAUAUUUUUCUUUGUAAAUUAACCAACAUCUUGAAAAGCUAAAAAAAAAAAAAAAAAAAGAAAAGAAAAAGAAAAAAACCUGCAGAUUGUGCCUUUGCUGUUCUGGUUGCCACAGGUAGCUUACAUGCCACUAUGUGCCUAUCUCGUUAGCAAAACUAUGGGGGAUAAAUCCUUAAUGUAUCUGAGUGCUCACCAUCAAAAUGGUGCGGAUGUGUUAAGUAUUCUGUUAAGAACUGUGACUUUUUAUUACAAAGUUCAGUUAGUUUUUAAUUUUUGGUUAGUUUUUAAUUUUUGGUUCUUGAAAGUUCAAAACUUUCACAUUUAAGUGAUGCCAGAUAUAACAAAGCACGCUAUUUCAAUUUUGUGGACUGUCCCAUUAAGCUGUAAGACUAGAACAGCAACAUGACAUACAAGUACUAAUUUCUGGUUUGAUUUAGGAUUGUUGUGUGUCUUUUUGCGCACAGUGGUGAUGAGACAUGAGCACAUCUAGGUUUUGAACAGACUUGGUACCUCCACCUCUCUGAAAUCCGUUAGAUACCUCAUUUUGUUAAGUGUGGGCACCUGAAAUGCGUGAAAAGCGCUGGCUGAGAAUCAGGCACAGCGCUGCCAGCACUUAGGACAGUGUGUGGCUGUUCUUAGUCACUGUGCAUAACCAUGGAAGGUGAAGUAAGGACGGGCACAUUCGCUGAGUGGUCCUGUUGUAGUCACAGUUCUCAUGGAUGGAGCUCGCCCUUCCUCAGUUACUCCGGUGUGUAGGUGUCUGUGUGUGGCAAGUGCUGCACAGCACUUAUUCCUCGUAAAUGUUUGAGCUGUUUGGGGUGGGGACAAAAGGUUUUGGAACAAAAGUCCAUAUAAUAUAGAUUCUAUUUAGAAACUGUUGUACAGUCUAACCUAAAACUGUCUAGCAAUGCUCCAGGAGUUGACAUAGCAAGUAGAUUGUCAAAGGCUGACUGGGGGCAGGGAGGAAGGGGAUGUUUCCUUUGGGGUUUUGUUGUUUUCUUUUCUUUCCUUGAGGCAUUUGAGAGAGAGAGGAGUCCUACAGGACAUGGGCAUAAAAUUUGGGUUCAUGCUGCUUUUGUUAAGGGAUGGAUUUUGCAGUCAUCUUUCUCUUUUAGUUGGUGAUACAAAUUCCAAAUCCAUACUGAAGGUGCAUAUGGUAAAGUUGUUUGAAGCUGGUUUUUGUCCUAUUCCUAUUAUAUGGUUUUUAUCCAAUUGCUAAGAAAAAGGUUUUGGUGGACAAAGUGGCUACAAUAAAAAUCCAAUUCUUUAGGCCUGGUGGAGAAAUA
Columba livia (rock pigeon) is the source of this 5315-nucleotide RNA transcript. It is a transcript of the gene named M-phase phosphoprotein 8, with no coding region annotated. The record is from RefSeq and is a predicted model, not a curated record. The transcript is spliced from 15 exons. Lineage: Eukaryota; Metazoa; Chordata; Aves; Columbiformes; Columbidae.